ACGUAGGUGGCGAGCGUUAUCCGGAUUUACUGGGUGUAAAGGGCGUGUAGGCGGGUCCUCAAGUCGGAGGUGAAAUUCCCGGGCUUAACUCGGGCGGGGCCUUCGAAACUGCGGAUCUUGAGUGCUAAUGAGGAUGGUGGAAUGUGUAGUGUAGCGGUAAAAUGCGUAGAUAUUAGGAGGAACACCAGUGGCGAAGGCGGCUAUCUGGAAAGUAACUGACGCUGAGGCGCGAAAGCGUGGGGAGCAAACAG
Molecule: ribosomal RNA, 251 nt
Filed under: uncultured prokaryote
Description: partial 16S rRNA
Rfam family: Bacterial small subunit ribosomal RNA
Source: RNAcentral